Molecule: ribosomal RNA, 254 nt
Filed under: uncultured bacterium
Lineage: Bacteria
Description: partial 16S ribosomal RNA
Rfam family: Bacterial small subunit ribosomal RNA
Source: RNAcentral
UACGUAGGGUGCGAGCGUUGUCCGGAAUUAUUGGGCGUAAAGAGCUCGUAGGCGGUGUGUCGCGUCGGUCGUGAAAACUUGGGGCUUAACCCUGAGCUUGCGGUCGAUACGGGCAUCACUGGAGUUCGGCAGGGGAGACUGGAAUUCCUGGUGUAGCGGUGAAAUGCGCAGAUAUCAGGAGGAACACCGGUGGCGAAGGCGGGUCUCUGGGCCAUUACUGACGCUGAGGAGCGAAAGCGUGGGGAGCGAACAGG